Molecule: ribosomal RNA, 254 nt
Filed under: uncultured bacterium
Lineage: Bacteria
Description: partial 16S ribosomal RNA
Rfam family: Bacterial small subunit ribosomal RNA
Source: RNAcentral
UACGUAGGGUGCGAGCGUUGUCCGGAAUUAUUGGGCGUAAAGGGCUCGUAGGCGGUCUGUCGCGUCGGGAGUGAAAACUCAGGGCUUAACCCUGAGCCUGCUUCCGAUACGGGCAGACUAGAGGUAUGCAGGGGGAGAACGGAAUUCCUGGUGUAGCGGUGGAAUGCGCAGAUAUCAGGAGGAACACCGGUGGCGAAGGCGGUUCUCUGGGCAUUACCUGACGCUGAGGAGCGAAAGUGUGGGGAGCGAACAGG